UUCUUAAUGUGGCCAAAGACAGUUGCAAGCCUGUAAACACAGAGCAAGAA
RNAcentral lists this non-coding RNA (50 nucleotides) under unclassified sequences. The record is from RNAcentral.